GCGCCUGUAGCUCAGGGGAUAGAGCAACGGACUCCGGAUCCGUGUGUCGCAGGUUCGAAUCCUGCUAGGCGCGCCA
Molecule: transfer RNA, 76 nt
Filed under: bacterium
Lineage: Bacteria
Description: tRNA-Arg
Rfam family: tRNA
About the family: Transfer RNA (tRNA) molecules are approximately 80 nucleotides in length. Their secondary structure includes four short double-helical elements and three loops (D, anti-codon, and T loops).
Source: RNAcentral